AGUCAUGCAAGAACGUCUAUUCUCGUCACUCGGCUUCAUGUCGUGCGCGCCCAACAUGAACACCCUCGAUCGAGAACAAACAAUACCUUGAGUCUACCUCUAAUAUCCGUCUUAGAGGUUCCGACACGACCCAAUCCAUUAACCUUUCGCCAUAAUCACAAGUCCUCGUGUCACGCCCCGGGACCGAUGCCAAUUUGGCCCGACCCGAGCACGUCAAACAGACGCCGAACGGACAGAGUUUCCCCUAUCCGCCCAAGGCUCAUCACAUGUACAAAAUUCAAACAAGAAUUGCACUAGCGGAAACAUACACAAACGGCUUACACGAGGGUAAGCAAUAGCCAUUAGUGAAAGAAAGGAAAACUAAACAUUCAUAAGUAAUAUGAUUCAAUUUAGAUCAUAUACAUACAUCCACCUUGUAACUUUUCGAAUUUCCUUACAUUUCGUUUCAUCAUUUCUUUCUUACAUCACAUUUACCUCCAAAUACACAUUACAGUCUUUUCUUUACACCAUUCAUCAUCAAGUACAAAAGAUGAUCGUAGGGUACUUUACUACAAAAUGAACCCAACUGUGGUGGCCUCUGACUAAGGCGCGAUACCUUUACCUCGGUCGCUCGCCGGCUCGUUCGGUCCCGGCUCUGUGGAAAUAGUGGGGUGAGAACUACAACAAAGUUCCCAGUGGGUUCGGCCUCAACAUCACCGACUUUCCCACUAGGACUAACUCAGGCAUAAUAGAAAGGAUAAGCUGAAGUAUGGUAACCAAGCUAUAACAUGAUG
RNAcentral lists this long non-coding RNA (773 nucleotides) under Ananas comosus (pineapple). RNAcentral's name for it is "long non-coding RNA (ACOM_LNC040451)". The record is from RNAcentral. Lineage: Eukaryota; Viridiplantae; Streptophyta; Magnoliopsida; Poales; Bromeliaceae.